Molecule: long non-coding RNA, 644 nt
Organism: Panthera uncia (snow leopard)
Lineage: Eukaryota; Metazoa; Chordata; Mammalia; Carnivora; Felidae
Exons: 3
Source: RefSeq, a predicted model, not a curated record
GAAUGAUUUAUUCCAAAAGCAGAGAGGGGACAUGAAAAUUGACUUUGUUUACAUUGCUUUCAGAAUCUCCAGGCUGUCAAGGUCCGCGGACUCAUGCAACUUAGUGGCCAAUUUCCACUCACUGGCUCACCUGGGGUCACAAGUCAAGGGGGCAUGGCACCCACCUGCUUCAGAAAGACCUACCAGUAAGGUACCAGAUUUUCCAUGAGCGCAACUGCCAUGGAAAUUGAGGGCAGAUGGCAGUGGAUUCUAUGGGAAGCUUCAUGGAGGGUGGUUUGCCAUUUUGGAAAAUGGCGUCGGCAACAGCACCACCGUUUGGAGCAUCUGAGUUGCUGUCAUGAGACACAUGAGUCGCUGGAGAGUUACAGCUGCUGCAUUCCUGAUCAACCUUUUCAUGUACCAGGAAACAUACAUAUGACCAAAUGACCAAAACAAAACCAAAACCCAGUAAAGCCCCAAAUUCCCCAAACCAAAAGACCCCUGGAGUUAUAGAAAUUCAUCCCUUAGCCCUAUGAAUAUUUUAAUAUAGACAUUUUCCCAAAGUAUAUUUUUGUGUAUUGUAAUACACAAGGAGUGUUGUUUGUUUCUUCUUCUUCUUUUUUUAAUGUUUAUCUUUGAGAGAGAGACAGAGAGAGAGAGCAUGA